AGUAAGGUGCCUGACAAAUAGGACUAUUUUGAUAGAAUAGAAUAUGUAAUAAAUUACCCUUAUUA
RNAcentral lists this transfer RNA (65 nucleotides) under Triatoma vitticeps. Its description in RNAcentral is "tRNA-Ile". The record is from RNAcentral. Lineage: Eukaryota; Metazoa; Arthropoda; Insecta; Hemiptera; Reduviidae.